CACGCCGUAAACGUUGGGCGCUAGGUGUGGGGGCCAUUCCACGGCUUCUGUGCCGCAGCUAACGCAUUAAGCGCCCCGCCUGGGGAGUACGGCCGCAAGGCUAAAACUCAAAGGAAUUGACGGGGGCCCGCACAAGCGGCGGAGCAUGUGGAUUAAUUCGAUGCAACGCGAAGAACCUUACCUGGGUUUGACAUGCACCAGAUGCCGGUAGAGAUGUCGGUUCCCUUGUGGUUGGUGUGCAGGUGG
RNAcentral lists this ribosomal RNA (246 nucleotides) under uncultured Pseudonocardia sp. Its description in RNAcentral is "partial 16S ribosomal RNA". It matches the Rfam family "Bacterial small subunit ribosomal RNA", at positions 796 to 1041 of the family's 1533-position model. Lineage: Bacteria; Bacillati; Actinomycetota; Actinomycetes; Pseudonocardiales; Pseudonocardiaceae. The record is from RNAcentral.